This is a long non-coding RNA of Sciurus carolinensis (gray squirrel), 4968 nucleotides long. RefSeq lists it as uncharacterized. NCBI's taxonomy places the organism in Eukaryota, Metazoa, Chordata, Mammalia, Rodentia, Sciuridae. The transcript has 3 exons. The record is from RefSeq and is a predicted model, not a curated record.
CGCUUUAUGAAUGUUGGUCGGAUAGUGUUUCCGGGCAAGGAGAGAGAAAUGAGGUCGACGUGGAGGCGGUGGUUUAAGAAGGUUCCGGGGGACAUUCGCUGUCAAACAGGCGAAGAUCACUUAAAGUCAGACUGAGGCAGGGGGCCGAGAAUGGAGAAAAGCUGAGCAAUGCGUGUGGCUCGCUAGACUCGCCUCCUGACAUAGGUCUCCAGAAUGCCCAGUUUCCAUGCCGAUCUCCGCCAGCGGCACUCGACGCAUUUCCAGGCUUCAAACUGACCCCAAAGAAGCUUCGCAGUCGCACAAUCUCUGGGACUGUCUGCUUUGACCCUAGCAGGCGGCAGUCAAGUACUGGUGAAUCCCGAGAUGUUGCAGAACAGUCAUGCUGCCCACAUUGACACACGAAGAAUUGUGUUGGAGAAAAUUUCAAAUUGAAUGACUCCAAAGUGUCUAAGCCACUCCCCCAACAUCUGACGAACACGGGUGGAUGAAAUGUCUGAUUGGCACCUGAACCACUCAUCCUGAAUUCAAGGAGGCACCUUGCCCACCCCGAACCGUUCACAUUGUGUUUUCCUAACCUUCCUUCCCCUUCUCAACACUUUCUUAGAAGCUCGCUCAGUCCCAGUUCCCGCCCCCUUCCUCAGUCAAGCUAUUUCUUUUGGCCAUUUUCUUUUCCUCUCUUCACAUCCACCUCCACCAUCACCCUUCUAUUAUCAGCAUUUCUUUUUCUGCAGGAGACAAACCUUAUGUCCAAAAGAAAUUUAUUUAUGGGGCCUUGUUUAAACUAGCAGUCUGUUCUUGGCUUUUUCUUCAGUUUCUUUCAAAUGGUGUGUGUGUUUCUGGGUGUGUGUUUCCCUAUUGGUGCUUAUGGCAGUUAAUGGACAGGAUACAAGAGUUAUUCAUAUUCAGGUUGUGUCUUGCCUCCAAGAAAAAAAAAAUGGAAUCUUACUGUGUCUUUUCAUAGUUUCAUUUCUUCUUCUUCUAAAUAAGCUUCUAGGCUCUCCAGUUCCUACAAUCAAAAAGGAAAAAAUUAAAGUUGAAACCCACGCAGAGCUAAUUAUUCUUGAAAAUGCUUGUUAAUGUCCUAAAAUUAGCUUUCUCUUCAGUUUUAUUUUAAAGCAGUGAUCUGAAUGUCGACUAAAGAUCAAUGGUUGCAUAGUAAGAGUUUUUAGAGUCCCUCUUCUUUGAACUAUUGAACAAAUACUGUUGAUCUAUGGAGACAUUCCCACCAUGGUGGGAUUUUUUCACAGUUGGAUGAGCAUUUUUAGCAUCUGAAAUUCAAAAUAGGUGAGCAGGUGCUUGAGUUUGUGUGUUUUGAUAGUAAAAGAAGCUGAUCAUAACAGAGUAUAGGCAGAAAACUCUGCAGGCCUCUAGAAUCUGUCUACCUGGGUUCCUCUCUUGAUAUCACUAUUUUCUAAUUCUUAGAUUACCUUUCCUACUCUGUACAAUGGAGAUAGUGAUUGUACCUACUGGUCUACAGGAAGAGUUUGAUCCUCUGUCUGAAAAUAAUUGCCAUGUAGCCUAGCACAGUGUUCUCAGUUCAGCACUGUUGACAUUUUAGGCCAGAUGAUUCUUUGUUGUAAUUUGCUGUCCUGUGCAUUUAGCCACCUCCCUGCCUCAACCCACUACACACAAGGAAAACCCUCUCCUCCCCAAAUAUGACAACCCAGACAUCUCCAUACUUUACCAGAUGUUGUCCAGAAAGUAAAAUCACCCCUGACUUAGAACCACUGGCCUUGCACCUAGCAAAAACCACAGAUUAGGAGGCAGUAUAAGCAAUUGCUUAAGAUUAUUCGUGUCUGGAGUAUGAACCUCUGGCAAAUUUUGCUUCCCUAAACCUCAGCAGUAAAAUGGGAAUAAUAAUGCUAGCUUCUGAUAAUGCUAGUUUUCUAAGGAGUAAGUACAAUUAUAUAAAAGCAAUUUUCUUGGUGCCUGGCACAUGGUAAGUUCAGAACAUGAGCUUCUGGUCUCAUUUUUUUCCUGAGAGGAGAAGGCAUUGAGCUAGAUGAGGAAUGGCAUAUUUUGACUUAUUUGCUGCUGCUCUUUCUCUGUCUCAUGGCAGUCAACAUUAUUAAGUCAAGGCUGGCCUCACUGAGUUCAGAUAGGGCCUCUGAAUCCUUCUUAACGUAGUGCUCCAGGAAGCCACUUCCGAUAGAUAAGAGUCAGCAUUUAAGAGGAUGCUGCAUUGCUAUCCCAGAGGUAGAGGAUUUUCAGAUCUCUAAUACUCUCAAAUCUUCUGGACUAGUGAUUACAUGUAAGAAGGAACAAUUGUCAUCAACCCCUUUAUGAAGGGCAGGGGACCAAGGCCCAGAGAGUUCCAACGUAAUGCCCAUAAUCAUACAACCCUGGAGCUUGUUCUCCUACAGUCUUAAGCAGUCAAUGAUUGCAUAGUAAGAGUUUUUACUUUCUUAAGCAACCCUCUUUUUGUCAUAUCCAUUACCUGGGGAGGCAGAGAAAACAUUUGUCUGGGGCAGUGAUGCCACCACCCACUGAUGCUGUUCACUCCCACUCAUCUCCCUCCUGCACUGUAUCUAGAAAAAUGAAUCAAAUCAUUUCGGCAUUUCAUUGCACAGGAACACUUUCAAAAGUGUUAGUAAGCUCAUGACAAGAAUUGUGCAAGAACUCAUCAAUUCCUUGAUUAAAUUUAGAUCGACUACCACCUUUGUAUAAGCAGUCAUUCUUAGCAGGCACUGCAAGAGAUAAAAAGGUGAAUCAGCGGGUGUUCCUGCCCUCAUUGCUUUUAUAGUUUCAUCUUUGGGGCAGAUCAAACAUGGAUAUAAAUAACUACAAUACAAGCUAAAAAAAAAAUGGAAAAGGUCCUAAGAAAGGUACCAAAAAUGUGUUCAGAGAAGGGAGAAAUUAUUUUGAGAAUUAGGAACCGAGAGUCACUUCCUCCAUGUCUCCGACAUUUUUAACUUUUGAUCAAAAAUUUGUAUUUAUUACAGUAAAGUUGUCCUUGUUGAGGAAGUUGUCAUAUUGUUAGGUUUCCUGUUCACAACAGCUCCUGCUUAAUGUAAGUGGAUAUUAUUGGUGCACCUAAAGGUCACAGUUUCUAAUUCUAAAUGAGUCAUUUUUGUCAGAUGUUUAAAAUUUUUGGGACGUUCUAGAUUGCUCCAGAAACAAUAGGAUAGCUUCCUUCAAAGCAUUAGACAGAACCAGUUUUUGAAGCAUGUUAUACAUAGUAGCAUACUUGUAAAAAUAAACAGCAGUGGCAGAAGAAUAUCAUGUCAUAUACAUUAAACCAUGAAACAGCAUUUCCUUCAGGACCAAACUACCUUAAGAGUCAGGCUAGCCACUUAAUUAUCUUUAAAUACUAACUCUAGAGCACGUGUACAUUCUAUACUAUUAUCUGCUAUAAACACUAAGUAUAGUAAGAGCCCACAUGUAGUAAGCCAGGCCACUGUCAAUUGGGUUGCCGAGAUUGCUACUGCUAUCAGGAGUCUGCCUGUCAAAUCAGAAAGAUUUGGUAGAACUGCCAGGUCCAUACCCCUCUGUUACAAGCCACACCAGCAAAAUGUAUGCCUUUAAGCUUCUUGCUGUCCCUUAUUACCUCAUUUCCAAAUUCAUGUUUUGCAUGAAUGCAUCUGAUUGGUACACUCUAAACCACAUCUGCAAAUCUGUCUGCAAGGAAGGCUAAGAAAUGCAAUUUUUACCUUUCCAGUUUUGUGCUAUGUGAAGACACAUUACAGGGAAGUUGGGUUAGAAGAUGGGUGAGCCAAGCCACAGCAUCCACCAUUUCUUUUCCUCCAACUCUCCAACAAAUAUGCUGGUAGAAAAAUAUUUUAUAUUUUAUAUCCACUAUUUUAGUCAGCUUUGUCCCUGCUGUGACUAAAGGGCCUGACCACAACAAUUGUAGAAGAGGAAAAAUUUAUUUGGGGACUCAUGGUUUCAAAGGUCUCAGUCCAUAGACAACAGGCUCCUUGGGGUUCAAGGUGAGGCAGGACAUCAUGGCAGUAGAGUGUGGCAUAGGGAAGCAGCUCGGGUAAUGAUCAGGAAGUAGAGAGAGAGAGAGAUAUCUCCACUUACCAGAUACAAAUAUAUACCCCAAAGCCAUGUGCCGUCCCCACCUCCUCCAAUUACACCCCACCUGCCUUCAGUUACAACUCAAUCUCGUGAGGUGAUUAAUUCACUGAUUGGGUUAGGACCCUCAUAACCCAAUUAUUUCUCCUGCAAACCUUCUUGCAUUGUCUCACACGUGAGCUCUUGGGGGAUAUGUCACAUCCAAACGAUAACAUCUACUUUGGUGUUUUAUAAUUUUUAGAGGUUAACUCAGAAGACCUAGUUCUUCAUGAAUCCCUCCAAGUUCCCAUCUCUGUAUCCACAAGAACUACCAUGCUGGUCCAAGCCACAUUUUCUUGCCUGGAAAUUUGUAACAGACCAGGAACAACCUUUACCUUCCUAUAAGCUGUUCUGUACUCUGAAGCCAAGUGAUUUUUUUAAGAACCCAAGUCCAAUUAUGAAACUUUUCCAACAGUUUCUCAUCACUCUUAAGAUAAAGGCAAGACUACUGGAUUUCACGAGCUCUGGCACUUACCAGCUUCAGCUUGUGCCACAUGACCCUUCCUCUCCACACUGCCAUCCUCUAGAACUUCAUUCCUUCCUAGGGUCCUAGCACAUGCUGUUCCCUUUCCUUCCCAGAAUGUUCUGUUCCCUUCUCUUCAUUCGUUUGAUGCUGGCUCAUCUUUUAAGUCUCAUUCAGCCAUCUCUUCCUUCAGAGAAGUCCUCCUUGACUUUCAUGAUCAGGUCCAUUGAGCUGAUCAUUGCCCGGGUUGAAACAGGUUUUUUGUUUCUGUUUUUGGUUUUUGGCAAAGGGGGAGGUAAAUUUUAGUAGACCUACCAGAGUUGUGAUUGUAUUUAUUUUUGUGAUUUUCUGAUUAAUUUCUGUCUCCUAACUGGAUUGUAGGCAUUACAAGUUGGAAUAUUAUACAUGCUUUUAAUCUUCUAAAGUCCAUUUUAAUAUAUAGCAUAGUU